This 253-nucleotide ribosomal RNA is filed under the name uncultured bacterium. Its description in RNAcentral is "partial 16S ribosomal RNA". It matches the Rfam family "Bacterial small subunit ribosomal RNA", at positions 524 to 776 of the family's 1533-position model. The record is from RNAcentral.
UACGUAGGGGGCAAGCGUUAUCCGGAAUCAUUGGGCGUAAAGCGCGUGUAGGCGGUUCCGUAAGUCCGCUCUGAAAGCCCAGGGCUCAACCCUGGGAGGCGGGUGGAUACUACGGAACUGGAGUACGGAAGAGGAGAUUGGAAUUCCUGGUGUAGCGGUGAAAUGCGCAGAUAUCAGGAGGAACACCAACAGCGAAGGCAGAUCUCUGGGACGUUACUGACGCUGAGACGCGAAAGCGUGGGGAGCGAACAGG